This 914-nucleotide ribosomal RNA is filed under the name uncultured archaeon. RNAcentral's name for it is "bacterial SSU rRNA". It matches the Rfam family "Archaeal small subunit ribosomal RNA", at positions 1 to 922 of the family's 1478-position model. The record is from RNAcentral.
UUCUGGUUGAUCCCGCCAGACCUGACUGCUAUCGGAUUGAUACUAAGCCAUGCGAGUCUUUGUAGUAAUACAAGGCAUACGGCUCAGUAACGCGUAGUCAACCUACCCUAUGGACAAGAAUAAUCUCGGGAAACUGAGCAUAAUUCUUGAUAGAUCAUAAUGCCUGGAAUGGUUUAUGGUUAAAAUGAUUCGUCGCCAUAGGAUGGGACUGCGGCCUAUCAGCUUGUUGGUGAGGUAAUGGCCCACCAAGGCGAUUACAGGUACGGGCUCUGAGAGGAGAAGCCCGGAGAUGGGUACUGAGACAAGGACCCAGGCCCUAUGGGGCGCAGCAGGCGAGAAAACUUUGCAAUGUGCGAAAGCACGACAAGGUUAGUCCGAGUGAUUUCUGCUAAAGAGAUCUUUUGCUAGUUAUAAAACCACUAGUGAAUAAGGGGUGGGCAAGUUCUGGUGUCAGCCGCCGCGGUAAAACCAGCACCUCAAGUGGUCAGGAUGAUUAUUGGGCCUAAAGCAUCCGUAGCCGGCUCUGUAAGUUUUCGGUUAAAUCUAUGCGCUCAACGUAUGGGCUGCCGAAAAUACUGCAGAGAUAGGGAGUGGGAGAGGUAGACGGUACUCGGUAGGAAGGGGUAAAAUCCUUUGAUCUAUCGAUGACCACCUGUGGCGAAGGCGGUCUACCAGAACACGUUCGACGGUGAGGGAUGAAAGCUGGGGGAGCAAACCGGAUUAGAUACCCGGGUAGUCCCAGCCGUAAACGAUGCAGACUCGAUGAUGCAUUGGCAUAUAGCUAGUGCAGUGUCGCAGGGAAGCCGUUAAGUCUGCCGCCUGGGAAGUACGUACGCAAGUAUGAAACUUAAAGGAAUUGGCGGGGGAGCACCACAAGGGGUGAAGCCUGCGGUUCAAUUGGAGUCAACGCCGGG